GUUAUGUUCUUGAAACUUAAAGAAUUUGGCGGUAUCUCAUUCCGUUCAGAGGAAUCUGUCUCGUUAUCGAUAGUCCACGUUGGACCUUACUUAGUUGAAUUUAUUGGUUUGUAUACCGCCGUUUAUUGAUUAUCUUUUUAGAGUUUGUUUUAAUUUUCUGGUUUCUUUAUUCUGAUGUAUUUCAGGUCAAGGUGCAGCUUGUUUCUAAGUGGAAUGAUGGAUUACAUUGUUAUUUGUAUUUAUGGAUUGUUGAUUUUAAUAUUGACAUGAAAUUGGAUUUGGUUGUAAUAGUUUGUAGAUUGUUACUAUGAUAGUUGGUUCUGAGAUAUGCACACAUCGCCCGUCGCU
Molecule: ribosomal RNA, 348 nt
Filed under: Obtusitermes sp. 1 RCD-2018
Lineage: Eukaryota; Metazoa; Arthropoda; Insecta; Blattodea; Termitidae
Description: partial 12S ribosomal RNA
Source: RNAcentral